This 620-nucleotide long non-coding RNA is filed under the name Bos indicus x Bos taurus (hybrid cattle). Its description in RNAcentral is "lncRNA (ENSBIXG00000022047.1)". The record is from RNAcentral. Lineage: Eukaryota; Metazoa; Chordata; Mammalia; Artiodactyla; Bovidae.
AGGAUGGGUGGGGUCUGAGCCAAGGAUCUGUUGAGGCCCAUCUCCUCUGCAGAGUCUGCGCAUGUGCUGUGUGUGUGUGUGCGUGCGUGCGUGUGUGUGUGUGUGCACGCGCAUGUGAGCUCACCACCUCUACUGAGUGGACACAGGUUGCAGAUCCAGAGGUCAGAGGCUGCUUGCUGUGCCCUUCCUGGUGUCCCUGGGAACCAAGAGGAUCAAGAGCAGGCUCUCUCCAGUCCCCAUGACUGUCUUCCCCAGCUGUAUUCAGAAGGCCGUGGAUGUCUCCUCAGCAACCCCCCAACCCUGCGUCCUUCUCAUCAGAUGUCCUGGUGAGUAUUCUUUUCGAGAUGUUUCUUGAAUGAAUGAAUGAAGUGUGAGAAUGCUCACGGUUGCCUGGGGAAGGAGAGGUUAUUUGAAACAGGCUUAGCGUACAACAUGUGGGGCAGGGCGUGGAGCCACUCUGGGUAGUGUGUGUGUGUGUUUACAUGUGGGUGUGAAAGGUGGAGGGAAAAAAUUAGGCAGCAACUCCCCUGUAGCUGGUGUGUCCUGAGCCUGAGCUUUCCCAGGCAGAGAUCUCAGUCUCCCCGUUUAUCCUUCCGGCCAGGGGGUGGGGUGGGGGCUGG